This 497-nucleotide ribosomal RNA is filed under the name uncultured bacterium. RNAcentral describes it as "partial 16S ribosomal RNA". It matches the Rfam family "Bacterial small subunit ribosomal RNA", at positions 28 to 507 of the family's 1533-position model. The record is from RNAcentral.
GAUGAACGCUGGCGGCGUGCCUAAUACAUGCAAGUCGAGCGAACAGACGAGGAGCUUGCUCCUCUGACGUUAGCGGCGGACGGGUGAGUAACACGUGGAUAACCUACAUAUAAGACUGGGAUAACUUCGGGAAACCGGAGCUAAUACCGGAUAACAUGUUGAACCGCAUGGUUCAACAGUGAAAGACGGUCUUGCUGGCACUUAUAGAUGGAUCCGCGCCGCCUUAGCUAGUUGGUGAGGUAACGGGUUACAAAGGGAACGAUGCGUAGCCGACCUGAGAGGGUGUUCGGCUACGGUGAAAGUGGGACACGGUCCACACUCCUGCGGGGGGCAGGAGUGGGCUUCUUUCGGCAAUGGUAGGAGGCCUGACGGAGCAAGGCCGCGUGGCAGGACAGGGUCUUCGGAUGGAAAGGCUCUGUGUUUAGGGCUGAACAAAUGUGUACGUAAGUUUACAGGUCUUGACGGUACCUGAUCAGAAAGCCCCGGCUAACUACGUG